Molecule: ribosomal RNA, 292 nt
Filed under: uncultured bacterium
Lineage: Bacteria
Description: partial 16S ribosomal RNA
Rfam family: Bacterial small subunit ribosomal RNA
Source: RNAcentral
GUGCCAGCAGCCGCGGUAAUACGAAGGGGGCUAGCGUUGUUCGGAAUUACUGGGCGUAAAGCGCGCGUAGGCGGUGAUCUUUGUCAGAGGUGAAAUCCCGAGGCUCAACUUCGGAAUUGCCUUUGAAACGGGAUCGCUUGAGUCCGAGAGAGGAUGGCGGAAUUCCUAGUGUAGAGGUGAAAUUCGUAGAUAUUAGGAAGAACACCGGUGGCGAAGGCGGCCAUCUGGCUCGGUACUGACGCUCAGGCGCGAAAGCGUGGGGAGCAAACAGGAUUAGAUACCCUGGUAGUCC